AGUGAACGCUGGCGGUAGGCCUAACACAUGCAAGUCGAACGGCAGCACAGGAGAGCUUGCUCUCUGGGUGGCGAGUGGCGGACGGGUGAGGAAUACAUCGGAAUCUACUCUGUCGUGGGGGAUAACGUAGGGAAACUUACGCUAAUACCGCAUACGGCCUACGGGUGAAAGCAGGGGAUCUUCGGACCUUGCGCGAUUGAAUGAGCCGAUGUCGGAUUAGCUAGUUGGCGGGGUAAAGGCCCACCAAGGCGACGAUCCGUAGCUGGUCUGAGAGGAUGAUCAGGCACACGGGAACUGAGACACGGUCCAGCCUCCUACGGGAGGCAGCAGUGGGGAAUAUUGGACAAUGGGCGAAAGCCUGAUCCAGCCAUACCGCGUGGGUGAAGAAGGCCUUCGGGUUGUAAAGCCCUUUUGUUGGGAAAGAAAUCCAGCUGGCUAGUACCCGGUUGGGAUGACGGUACCCAAAGAAUAAGCACCGGCUAACUUCGUGCCAGCAGCCGCCGUAA
This 506-nucleotide ribosomal RNA is filed under the name uncultured bacterium. RNAcentral describes it as "partial 16S ribosomal RNA". It matches the Rfam family "Bacterial small subunit ribosomal RNA", at positions 29 to 523 of the family's 1533-position model. The record is from RNAcentral.